UGGGGAAUCUUGGACAAUGGGCGCAAGCCUGAUCCAGCCAUGCCGCGUGGGUGAAGAAGGCCUUAGGGUUGUAAAGCCCUUUCAGUCGUGACGAUGAUGACGGUAGCGACAGAAGAAGCCCCGGCUAACUCCGUGCCAGCAGCCGCGGUAAUACGGAGGAUGCAAGCGUUAUCCGGAAUGAUUGGGCGUAAAGCGUCCGCAGGUGGUGAUGCAAGUCUGCUGUUAAAGAGUGUAGCUUAACUACAUAAAGGCGGUGGAAACUGCACCACUAGAGUACGUUCGGGGCAGAGGGAAUUCCUGGUGUAGCGGUGAAAUGCGUAGAUAUCAGGAAGAACACCGGUGGCGAAAGCGCUCUGCUAGGCCGUAACUGACACUGAGGGACGAAAGCGAGGGGAGCGAAUGGGAUUAGAUACCCCCGUAGUCC
RNAcentral lists this ribosomal RNA (424 nucleotides) under uncultured prokaryote. Its description in RNAcentral is "bacterial SSU rRNA". It matches the Rfam family "Bacterial small subunit ribosomal RNA", at positions 355 to 796 of the family's 1533-position model. The record is from RNAcentral.